Molecule: ribosomal RNA, 254 nt
Filed under: uncultured bacterium
Lineage: Bacteria
Description: partial 16S ribosomal RNA
Rfam family: Bacterial small subunit ribosomal RNA
Source: RNAcentral
UACGAAGGGUGCAACCGUUGCUCGGAAUUAUUGGGCGUAAAGAGCUCGUAGGCGGUUCAGUAAGUCGGGUGUGAAAACUUUGGGCUUAACCCAAAGCGUGCAUCCGAUACUGCUGUGACUUGAGUUCGGUAGGGGAGUGGGGAAUUCCUAGUGUAGCGGUGAAAUGCGCAGAUAUUAGGAGGAACACCGGUGGCGAAGGCGCCACUCUGGGCCGAAACUGACGCUGAGGAGCGAAAGCAUGGGUAGCAAACAGG